AUUAGAAGAAAAUUAUAUCCUGGUGCAAUAAAAAAGCUACUCAUCAACAUUUGGGAAGAAGUUAGUUCUACAGGAGACAUUCAUGUGUUGCAGACACUUUGGAGAAGGUUCCGGACACCCCAAAUCCCAAGUGUUGUCCCAAAACUUGAAUGCUAUCGAAGGAGAAGGAAAUCACUUGGAUACCGUGCUCAGAGGAUGGAACCACUCUGUGAUCAUCUUGUGAAAAUCAAGUUAAUCAACUGUCCUGGGGCCAGCCACUUGGUACAGAAAUCUGCCCUGAGACUGAUAGGCAGCAGGCUCCCCACUGGGGCCAGAUGGGAGAUCUCAUGAAUUACAGUUCACCAAUACAUUUUUGGAUGGCUUUUAUAUGAUAAAAACCUUCAUUCUAUUUAUAAUGUCUAAUAAUGAAGCACUGUAAAUGAAUUAAUGAAAACACAUGUAUUGACAUCUGUAAUCUCUUAGUGUUCUUGGAACAAAUGGAAUCAAUUUCUUUUUUGGCUGUUAAAAUCUUAAAUUAACCAAAUAUACAUAAAGGUGUGAAAUUCUCACGGCUAUUUCUUUCCCUUUUAUACAAUGGGUUUUGAGCCUUAUGAAAGCAUUUAGCCAUUCAAAAGAAUGUUCUUUUGAAAGAAGGAUGCAUUUCAUUGCAACAUUUUUUUUAAAACAAAAUAUUGGUUUUGCAUGUCCUGUAAAAAUUUUGGUUAACCUCUUUUCUUUGUACAAAGGCUCAUGGGCCCAUUGCCAUUUGAGUCUUCCAUCCCAUCUCAUUUACAAUAUAACCUUCACAGAAAAGAUCACCACAAUGCUAUUUAAUUAUUUAAAGUUGGUAAGAAUUACUAUGUUAAGUGGUUAAUGGACUACUUGGAAAAUAAUUUGGUAACUGUAAGUUUCUCUUCUAAACACUAUGCUGUAAUUUGCUCUGCUAUUUACCAAUGUAAUUAGACUAUUAAAACAUUUUUAUUCCUCUUUA
Gracilinanus agilis (Agile Gracile Mouse Opossum) is the source of this 970-nucleotide long non-coding RNA. RefSeq lists it as uncharacterized. The transcript has 2 exons. The record is from RefSeq and is a predicted model, not a curated record. Lineage: Eukaryota; Metazoa; Chordata; Mammalia; Didelphimorphia; Didelphidae.